This 252-nucleotide ribosomal RNA is filed under the name uncultured bacterium. RNAcentral describes it as "partial 16S ribosomal RNA". It matches the Rfam family "Bacterial small subunit ribosomal RNA", at positions 524 to 776 of the family's 1533-position model. The record is from RNAcentral.
GACAGAGGUGCCAAGCGUUAGGCGGAAUCACUGGGCUUAAAGCGUGUGUAGGCGGAUCGUUAAGUACCUUGUGAAAUCCCACGGCUUAACCGUGGAACGGCUGGGUAUACUGGCGAUCUUGAGCCACCUAGGGGCGAGCGGAACAAAUGGUGGAGCGGUGAAAUGCGUAGAUAUCAUUUGGAACGCCAACGGUGAAAACAGCUCGCUGGGGGUGUGCUGACGCUGAGACACGAAAGCCAGGGAGCGAACGGG